RNAcentral lists this ribosomal RNA (1967 nucleotides) under human gut metagenome. Its description in RNAcentral is "bacterial LSU rRNA". It matches the Rfam family "Bacterial large subunit ribosomal RNA", at positions 959 to 2821 of the family's 2925-position model. The record is from RNAcentral.
AAUACCGGUGACGCGUAUCCCGGCAGUGAGUCGGCGGGGGAUAAGCUCCGUCGUCGAAAGGGAGACAGCCCAGAUCGUCGUCUAAGGUCCCCAAGCGCGUGCUAAGUGGGAAAGGAUGUGGAGUCGCAUAGACAGCCAGGAGGUUGGCUCAGAAGCAGCCAUCCUUGAAAGAGUGCGUAACAGCUCACUGGUCUAGUGGUUCCGCGCCGACAAUGUAGCGGGGCUCAAGCACACCACCGAAGACGCGGCAGCGUCCGUUUGGAUGCUGGGUAGGAGAGCGUCCCCAUCGGGGCGAAGCGGCGGCGCAAGCCUGCCGUGGACCGUUGGGGAGUGAGAAUGCAGACAUGAGUAGCGAGAGGCGGGGGCGAAUCCCGCCCGCUGGAUGACCAAGGGUUCCGGGGCCACGUUCGUCGUCCCCGGGUGAGUCGGGUCCUAAGGCGAGGCCGACAGGCGUAGUCGAAUGGAUGAACGGGUGGAUAUUCCCGUACCGGCGGCGUACCGUAAGAGCCGAACGGAUGAGUACUAACCUCCGGUCGCGUGGCGUCGUUCCCUUCGGGGUUCGGGGUCCGCGGUCGUUGGGAGCGUAGUCCCGGUAGGCUAGCGCACAGGGGUGACACGGAAUGGGAGCCGGCCGCGGAGGUGGUUUUCCGUGGUCAAGCGUUCGAGCCCGUCCCGCAGGCAAAUCCGCGGGGCGUCGGGGCGAGGCGUGAUGAUGGGGGCCUUACGGCCCGAAUCCGGUGAUCCGUGGUGCCGAGAAAAGCUUCGGCGUCAGGCGCGUUGCCGCCCGUACCCCAAACCGACACUGGUGGUCAGGUAGAGAAUACCAAAGCGAUCGAGCGAAUCCUGGUCAAGGAACUCGGCAAAUUGCUCCCGUGCCUUCGGCAUAAGGGAGACCCCCUGCGGUGAUGAGCGGCGGGGGGUGGCACAGGCCAGGGGGUAGCGACUGUUUACCAAAAACACAGGAGCGUGCGAAGGCGCAAGCCGCUGUAUACGCUCUGACGCCUGCCCGGUGCCGGAAGGUUAAGAGGAUCCGUCAGGCUUCGGCCGAAGCGGUGAAUUCAAGCCCCGGUAAACGGCGGUGGUAACUAUAACCAUCCUAAGGUAGCGAAAUUCCUUGUCGGGUAAGUUCCGACCUGCACGAAUGGCGUAACGACUUCCCCACUGUCUCGACCAGGAGCUCGGCGAAAUUGCAGUACGAGUAAAGAUGCUCGUUAAGCGCAGAAGGACGAAAAGACCCCGGGACCUUUACUAUACCUUGGUAUUGGCAUUAGGCGCGGAUUGUGUAGCAUAGGCGGGAGGCUUCGAGGCGGGUGCGCCAGCAUCCGCGGAGCCGCAAGGUGAAAUACCGCUCUGUUCUCGUUUGAUGUCUAACCUCGAACAGUCAUCCUGUUCAGGGACAGUGCCUGGCGGGUAGUUUAACUGGGGCGGUUGCCUCCCAAAGAGUAACGGAGGCGCUCAAAGGUCCGCUCGGCCCGGUUGGCAAUCGGGUGUCGAGUGUAAUCGCACAAGCGGGCUUGACUGCGAGAUCGACGGAUCGAGCAGGGACGAAAGUCGGAGAUAGUGAUCCGGUGCCGGCGCACGGGCGCGGCAUCGCUCAACGGAUAAAAGGUACCCCGGGGAUAACAGGCUGAUCAUUCCCAAGAGUCCAUAUCGACGGGAUGGUUUGGCACCUCGAUGUCGGCUCGUCGCAUCCUGGGGCUGUAGUCGGUCCCAAGGGUUGGGCUGUUCGCCCAUUAAAGCGGCACGCGAGCUGGGUUCAGAACGUCGUGAGACAGUUCGGUCCCUAUCCGUCGCGGGCGUUGGAAAUUUGAGAGGAUCUGUCCUUAGUACGAGAGGACCGGGAUGGACUUACCGCUGGUGUACCAGUUGUCUCGCCAGAGGCAUCGCUGGGUAGCUAUGUAGGGAAGGGAUAAACGCUGAAAGCAUCUAAGUGUGAAGCCCACCUCAAGAUGAGAUUUCCCAUUUCU